UCUUGGUCAUUUAGAGGAAGUAAAAGUCGUAACAAGGUUUCCGUAGGUGAACCUGCGGAAGGAUCAUUAUUGAAAUAAAUCUGACAAGUUGCUGCUGGCUCUCUCGGGAGCAUGUGCACACCUGUCAUCUUUAUAUCUCCACAUGUGCAUCUUUUGUAGACCUGGAUCUCUCUCUGGAUGCUAGCCACUCAGGUUUGAGGAUUGACUUUAUGUCUCUCCUUACAUUUCCAGGUCUAUGUUCUUCAUAUACCCCAAUGUAUGUUUAUAGAAUGCAAUCCAUGGCCUUUGUUGUGCCUAUAAACCCAUACAACUUUCAGCAACGGAUCUCUUGGCUCUCGCAUCGAUGAAGAACGCAGCGAAAUGCGAUAAGUAAUGUGAAUUGCAGAAUUCAGUGAAUCAUCGAAUCUUUGAACGCACCUUGCGCUCCUUGGUAUUCCGAGGAGCAUGCCUGUUUGAGUGUCAUUAAUAUAUCAACCUCUUCAGCUUUUGCUUCUUGAGUGUUGGAUGUGGGGGUCUUUUCUUUGCUGGUCUUCUUAGAUCAGCUCCCCUGAAAUGCAUUAGCAGAACCAUUUGUAGACCGUUCAUUGGUGUGAUAAACUAUCUACGCUAUUGACGUGAAAGCAGGUUCGGCUUCUAACAGUCCAUUGACUUGGACAGAUUCUCAUUAAUGUGACCUCAAAUCAGGUAGGACUACCCGCUGAACUUAAGCAUAUCAAUAAGCGGA
Molecule: ribosomal RNA, 724 nt
Filed under: Phlegmacium obsoletum
Lineage: Eukaryota; Fungi; Basidiomycota; Agaricomycetes; Agaricales; Cortinariaceae
Description: eukaryotic LSU rRNA
Rfam family: 5.8S ribosomal RNA (bases 309-462)
Source: RNAcentral